UUAGUCUUAUAAUUUAAGACUGGAAUGAAAGAACUCACCAAAGAACUUAUGUCUUAUAUAUAUAUAUCAAAUUUUACUUUUUAGUUAAAAGGCUAAAAUAAUAUUUUUAGACAAGAAGACCCUAUAAAGCUUCACAUAUUAAAAUUUAAAGAUUUAUAUUAUGUUUAACUGGGGCGGUAAAGAGAUAAACACUCUUAAAUCAUUAAAUAUCUUAAUGCUUAUACCCAAAAUUUUUGAAAAUCAAAUAAGUUACUUUAGGGAUAACAGCGUUAUAUAUUUAAAGAUUCUAAUCGAAAAAUAUGUUUGCGACCUCGAUGUUGAAUUGAAUUUUCUUUAUUAUGCAAGAGUAAUA
Molecule: ribosomal RNA, 352 nt
Filed under: Zabius sp. 4 AAOA-2016
Lineage: Eukaryota; Metazoa; Arthropoda; Arachnida; Scorpiones; Buthidae
Description: partial 16S ribosomal RNA
Source: RNAcentral